CGGGUUUGACAUUGAGCGACGUUAGAUGAAAGUCUAAUUCCCUUUUAGGGCGCGAAAACAGGUGCUGCAUGGCUGUCGUCAGCUCGUGCUGUGAAGUGUUCGGUUAAGUCCGGCAACGAGCGCAACCCAUACCCUUACUUGCUAACAGGUAAUGCUGAGAACUUUAAGGGGACUGCCCGUGUUAAGCGGGAGGAAGGUGUGGAUGACGUCAAGUCAGUAUGGCCCUUACACCCGGGGCUGCACACGUGCUACAAUGGCCGGUACAGAGGGCUGCAACAUAGCGAUAUGAAGCGAAUCCCAAAAACCGGUCUCAGUACGGAUUGGAGUCUGCAACUCGACUCCAUGAAGAUGGAAUCGCUAGUAAAUGCGCAUCAGCUACGGUGCAUUGAAUACGUUACCGGGCCU
RNAcentral lists this ribosomal RNA (405 nucleotides) under uncultured bacterium. Its description in RNAcentral is "bacterial SSU rRNA". It matches the Rfam family "Bacterial small subunit ribosomal RNA", at positions 976 to 1381 of the family's 1533-position model. The record is from RNAcentral.